AAAUAAAUAUUUGUGAUUUAUGGAUUUUAUUUUAAGUUUAAUUUACAUAUAAAUUUUAGUGUUAAUUUUAUAGUAUUUAAAUAAUAUAAUAUAAAAUAUAUAGUAAUUAAAAUUAAAAAUUUAAGAAAUUAAGAUUUAGUAAUACAUUAAAAUUAAAUAACAAAUUUUGUGCCAGCAGUUGCGGUUAUACAAAAAUUUAAAUAAAUUUUAUUAGUUAGAAUAAAUAAUUAAUAAUAUAUAAAUUAAAUUUAGAAUUAUAAGGUGAAAUUUUAAUUUUAAUAAAAUUUAAAUAUGAUUUAUGAAUUUAAAAAUUUCAUUAUUAAACUAGGAUUAGAUACCCUAUUAUAAGAAAAUUAAUUAAUUUAGCUAAAAUAGUAUAUAAUUAUUUAUUGAAACUUAAAUAAUUUGGCGGUAUUUUAGUUCAUUUAGAGGAAUCUGUCUAGUAAUUGAUAAUCCACGAAUAAUACAUAUUUAAUUUAAAAUUUUAUAUAUCGUUGUUAAAAAAAUAUUUUUUAUAAAAAAUAAUAUUUUAAAAUUAAGAUAAAAAAUUAAUUCAGAUCAAGAUGUAGAUAAUAAUUAAAGUGAGGAUGGAUUACAAUAUAAUAAUAUAAAUGAAUAAUAAUUUUGUAAUAAUUAUUUGAAAGUGGAUUUAAAUGUAAUUUUAUUUAAUUUAAUAAAAUGAUUAAAAAUUGAAAUAUGUACAUAUUGCCCGUCACUUUCAUUUAAAAAUUGGAAUAAGUCGUAACAAAGUAGGGAUACUGGAAAGUGUUCCUAGAAAGA
RNAcentral lists this non-coding RNA (780 nucleotides) under Anthocharis bambusarum. The record is from RNAcentral. Lineage: Eukaryota; Metazoa; Arthropoda; Insecta; Lepidoptera; Pieridae.